UAGGUUUUGUUUGAUAUAUUUAUGUUUCUCUUACUGUGCUAAUGAAUGUUCCAAAAUGAAGCAAAGUUAGUGCUAUGAAGCAUAAGUUGUAUUUGUAGUUGUUGCAGCCUAUGCUUCGAGAAAAGGUUAAAUUUUGACUAGGGCAUGUUAGGAGUAGUAACUAGUAAGGUAGAGGAGUUAGCCCAUACUAGUAAUGCAAUUUUUCUGCCUCAACAAUUUUCAGGGCAAAGCCACAGCUGGAAAGCAA
This 247-nucleotide unclassified non-coding RNA is filed under the name Hevea brasiliensis (rubber tree). The record is from RNAcentral. Lineage: Eukaryota; Viridiplantae; Streptophyta; Magnoliopsida; Malpighiales; Euphorbiaceae.